UUGGACCUGAUAUCAAACAAGACUACCCGCUGAACUUAAGCAUAUCAAUAA
Molecule: ribosomal RNA, 51 nt
Filed under: Saprolegnia ferax
Lineage: Eukaryota; Oomycota; Saprolegniomycetes; Saprolegniales; Saprolegniaceae
Also listed under: 6 other names
Description: partial 28S ribosomal RNA
Source: RNAcentral